AUGGCCUGGACCCAUUUCCUCCUCAGCCUCCUCGCUCUCUGCACAGGCCUUGUGACCUCCUAUGAGCAGAUUCAGCCAACCUUUAUGUCGGUGGCCCAGGGACAGACGGCCAGGUUCACCUGUGGGGGAAACAACAUUGGAAGAAAACAUGUUCACUGGUAUCAACAGGAGCCAGGUCAGGCCCCCAUCCAGGUCAUCUAUGCUACUAGCAACCGGCACUCAGGGAUCCCUGACCAAUUCUCUGGCUCCAAUUUGGGGAACACGGCCACCCUGACCAUCAGCGGGGCCCAGGCCAAGGACGAGAAUGACUAUUACUGUCAGGUGUGGGACAGCAGUGAUAAAGCUCACAGUGACACAGGCAGAUGGGGAAUUGUGGCAAUAACCCCAUUCUCUGUAUAUGUCACUCUCUUCUCCAGCCCGAAGAAGACUGGUGACAAACCCAUGAGCAGGUCUGACCCAGGUUCCCAGGUCUGA
Non-coding RNA from Hipposideros armiger (great roundleaf bat), 474 nucleotides. NCBI's taxonomy places the organism in Eukaryota, Metazoa, Chordata, Mammalia, Chiroptera, Hipposideridae. The record is from the annotation of a RefSeq genome assembly.